Long non-coding RNA from Cyprinus carpio carpio, 2588 nucleotides. NCBI's taxonomy places the organism in Eukaryota, Metazoa, Chordata, Actinopteri, Cypriniformes, Cyprinidae. The record is from Ensembl.
GGCCCAACUGUCUGAAUGUAGUUGUCAGUGAUCACUGUAGUCUUUGUACUACUGUUAAAACUUAAGGACCAGUGGUUCAACAAGAUCUAGAGUUAAGAGUAGAUUAAGAGUUUAGAUUGUGAUGAUGAAACAUAUGGAGUGAAGUAACGUCUCAUCAUCACUGAAAAUAUUGUUCCCUUAAGUGCUCCCCCUUCAGGGUGAGUGUAGAAUUCAUACUUACCUGGCAGGGGAGAUACCAUGAUCAAGAAGGUGGUUCACCCAGGGCGAGGCUCAGCCAUUGCACUCCGGUUGUGCUGACCCCUGCGAAUUCCCCAAAUGUGGGAAUCUCGACUGCAUAAUUUCUGGUAGUGGGGGACUGCGUUCGCGCUCUCCCCUGAUUUUCUGGUUAAAAAUAGAAUUGUAAUGUAUAAGGAAUUAUUACUAGUUUAUAACAAAUUUAUCAUGUGUGUGAAGUUGUGGAUCAUUAUGUUUGAUUGUGAUAAUACACUGGAUAAGGGCUGAACGAAUCAUUGCGUUUGCGAUAUCGCAAUAUGAAAAAACAUGAUUUUUGAUUACACUCGAUGACGUGACACGAAAGAGAGUGGCUGCUUCAAGUCGAACACAUCUAAGUGCAAUCUUCAGAGGAAGCAUUGAGUUGGCACGCUACAGUGUUGCCAAGUCCGUGAAUACAUUACAUAUAAUAUUUAUUUAUUUAUUUAUUUAUUUAUUUAAAGUCUUUCUAAAUUAAAAAAGCAUUAAUUGUUUAGUAAAAUUAUUUGACGCGACUAAAAAAAAAAAAGAGAACUACUGGUCUUAAGUUAACAGACAGUAGGGCCGUUUGCACUGCUUUAGUUCCAGAACUAAAUGUACUAAACUAAAGUACUGGCACAAUUUUGCCAGUACCAUUUUAAAGGGUUGCAUUCGCACCGACAGUGUGUACUAGGAAGUGAUGUAAGCCGGUCAACAGGGAGGUCAUUUGUAUGCGGUGUUCAACAAUGUUAACAAAGAAGAACAACGUUAACAACAGGAGGAUGGAGGACGCUGUGAUCGGAGCUGUGUUUUUGUUGUCUCGUGAGUUUCACAAUAAUGGAUAUGUAAUGUCGACAUAUACGUAAAGCGAUUAAAGGAAAGGAGGACUAAGAAUCUCCAACGACAACUGACAGUGCUACAUUUGCUACAAGUGGCUGCACUUCAGCGUCCGUCCAUCUAUCGCUGUUCUCCAUACUUGCGAAAUAAGUUGACAAUGUUUACAGUACGUUAACAUAACGUCUACUUUAGUUUGAGUGAUUUGUAUAUUAAUAUUUAGGCUACACCAGGCUUAUUUGUCAGUGAUUUGUCAUAAUUAUUACAUGCUUACAAGGUUGGAAGUUCAACAAAUCAGUCAAUAUACUACUGUGAAUGUAGUUGUUAAAAAAAAAAAAAAAAAGUCUUUCUUAUCAAUUUAUGCAUCACCUAAUUUCAUCGUAACAGGCCUGGCCUACAGGAAAGAACAUUUGUUUAAUCGAGCUAAUAUUAUGUUAGUCAUAUUAUACAAUGAUUUUUAGCUUGUCUUUGUUGAAUAAUACAGAACAUAAAGAGCUUUAAAAAGUUAUUGCAUAUUAAAUCGCAAUCGCAAUAUUGGUAAAAAAAAAAAAAAAAUUGCAAUAAGAUUAUUUUCCAAAAUUGUUCAGCCCUACAACCCCUGGUUUAAAUGAACAUAAGAUAAUGAUGAAAAACAAAAAUUCAAAGGAGUAUGGAGUGGAGCAUCUAGUUCGCGCGAAUGACGCGAAUUGAGCGAAUGUGCUUUUUGUGCAUUUACACGUUUGACGCGAAUUCGCGUCUGACGCCCGAGUUGAAAAAUUUGAACUUUGGCGUCAAUUCGCGCCGCGUUAACCUAUCAGGAGCCUGCUCAGGAGUCACUCAUUCAACAUGAAGGAACGACUGAUAUUGUCAGUGAGCAGUCACCCGGCGCUAUAUGACACAAGUUCAUAUUUCUAUAGAGACAGGAAUAAAAAGGAAGAGUGUGUUGUAAAUACACAUUUAACUUUUGAGUCACGUACAUGUUUAUCGACCCGCGGCCUUCCCGCCAUUUUUACAACUAUUUUCCCCCUAAUAUAGCUACUUUUUGCUAACAAGAUAAUGUGUUUAUUCAGAGGACGUGUGCAGGAAAAAGUGGAAAAGCCUUGAAUGCUCGAUCAACAUCAGCCAUCUUGCAAACAGACAACUUGCUUUCUACGCACGUCUAUUGCGCUCUAGACGCGCGAAUGCAUUAAAAAAGUUCAAGCGGCAAACUAGACGCGGUAGACGUGAAUUUGACGCUCUAUUCGUGUUUGGUGUGAACGCAACAUUAAAUGUCUUUAACGUUGUGUUUCGUGCCUUUGCUUUCAAGUUCCGCCAAACAAACUAAAGCGUAUAUGGCUUUACCCCUCAUCAUAUCUGUUUGCGCUGCGUGUUUCAAAGCCAAGCGCACACUUUUUUUCACGCGAUCAGCUCAUGAUCCGGUGUUUGCUGCGGCUCCUUUCUAAAUUACUAAAUAAGUACUAAAUUAUUACUAUAUUACUACACUAUAUAGUAGUAAAUCACAUGUGAAAAGUAGCCUACUUUUUGAUCAGUUCAUCAGUAAAAUUCAG